This 254-nucleotide ribosomal RNA is filed under the name uncultured bacterium. RNAcentral's name for it is "partial 16S ribosomal RNA". It matches the Rfam family "Bacterial small subunit ribosomal RNA", at positions 524 to 776 of the family's 1533-position model. The record is from RNAcentral.
GACGGAGGGUGCUAGCGUUGUUCGGAAUCACUGGGCGUAAAGGGCGCGUAGGCGGCCUUGCAAGUCGGUUGGUGAAAGCCCGGGGCUCAACCCCGGAGGUGCGGCCGAGACUGCAGGGCUGGAGGCCGGAAGAGGAGGGUGGAAUACCCAGUGUAGAGGUGAAAUUCGUAGAUAUCGUAAGGAAGACCAGUGGCGAAGGCGGGUCUCUGGACAGUUCCUGACGCUGAGGCACGAAGGCCAGGGGAGCAAACGGG